Molecule: ribosomal RNA, 54 nt
Filed under: uncultured eukaryote
Lineage: Eukaryota
Description: partial small subunit ribosomal RNA
Source: RNAcentral
UGAUUGGGCUGAAGUUGUAACAAGGUAGCUGUAGGUGAACCUGCAGAAGGAUCA